RNAcentral lists this ribosomal RNA (394 nucleotides) under uncultured bacterium. RNAcentral describes it as "partial 16S ribosomal RNA". It matches the Rfam family "Bacterial small subunit ribosomal RNA", at positions 523 to 918 of the family's 1533-position model. The record is from RNAcentral.
AUACGUUGGGGGCUAGCGUUAUCCGGAAUUACUGGGCGUAAAGGGUGCGUAGGUGGUUUCUUAAGUCAGAAGUGAAAGGCUACGGCUCAACCGUAGUAAGCUUUUGAAACUAAGAGACUUGAGUGCAGGAGAGGAGAGUAGAAUUCCUAGUGUAGCGGUGAAAUGCGUAGAUAUUAGGAGGAAUACCAGUUGCGAAGGCGGCUCUCUGGACUGUAACUGACACUGAGGCACGAAAGCGUGGGGAGCAAACAGGAUUAGAUACCCUGGUAGUCCACGCCGUAAACGAUGAGUACUAGCUGUCGGGGGUUACCCCCCUCGGUGGCGCAGCUAACGCAUUAAGUACUCCGCCUGGGAAGUACGCUCGCAAGAGUGAAACUUAAAGGAAUUGGCGGGG